AGUAGAAUGGCUGAGCCUAAGCGAUAAAUUGUAAAUUUAUUUACGGAAUUUUUUCCUUCUACUA
RNAcentral lists this transfer RNA (64 nucleotides) under Ludioschema vittiger. Its description in RNAcentral is "tRNA-Tyr". Lineage: Eukaryota; Metazoa; Arthropoda; Insecta; Coleoptera; Elateridae. RNAcentral also lists the same sequence under 1 other name. The record is from RNAcentral.